RNAcentral lists this ribosomal RNA (441 nucleotides) under uncultured bacterium. RNAcentral describes it as "partial 16S ribosomal RNA". It matches the Rfam family "Bacterial small subunit ribosomal RNA", at positions 338 to 795 of the family's 1533-position model. The record is from RNAcentral.
CCUACGGGCGGCAGCAGUGGGGGAUAUUGCACAAUGGGGGGAACCCUGAUGCAGCGACGCCGCGUGGGUGAAGGAGUGCUUCGGCAUGUAAAGCCCUAUCGGCAGGGAAGAAGCAAGACGGUACCUGACUAAGAAGCCCCGGCUAACUACGUGCCAGCAGCCGCGGUAAUACGUAGGGGGCGAGCGUUAUCCGGAUUCACUGGGUGUAAAGGGAGCGUAGACGGCCAUGCAAGCCAGGGGUGAAAGCCCGGGGCCCAACCCCGGGACUGCCCUUGGAACUGCAUGGCUGGAGUGCGGGAGGGGCAGGCGGAAUUCCUGGUGUAGCGGUGAAAUGCGUAGAUAUCAGGAGGAACACCGGCGGCGAAGGCGGCCUGCUGGACCGCGACUGACGUUGAGGCUCGAAAGCGUGGGGAGUGAACAGGAUUAGAUACCCUGGUAGUC